RNAcentral lists this ribosomal RNA (456 nucleotides) under uncultured bacterium. RNAcentral's name for it is "bacterial SSU rRNA". It matches the Rfam family "Bacterial small subunit ribosomal RNA", at positions 29 to 534 of the family's 1533-position model. The record is from RNAcentral.
AACGAACGCUGGCGGCAUGCCUAACACAUGCAAGUCGAACGAGACCUUCGGGUCUAGUGGCGCACGGGUGCGUAACGCGUGGGAACCUGCCUUUAGGUUCGGAAUAACUCAGAGAAAUUUGAGCUAAUACCGGAUGAUGUCUUCGGACCAAAGAUUUAUCGCCUUUAGAUGGGCCCGCGUAAGAUUAGCUAGUUGGUGGGUAAAGCCUACCAAGGCGACGAUCUUUAGCUGGUCUGAGAGGAUGAUCAGCCACACUGGGACUGAGACACGGCCCAGACUCCUACGGGAGGCAGCAGUGGGAAUAUUGGGACAAUGGGCGAAAGCCUGAUCCAGCAAUGCCGCGUGAGUGAUGAAGGCCUUAGGGUGUAAAGCUCUUUACCCGAGAUGAUAAUGACAGUAUCGGGAGAAUAAGCUCCGGCUAACUCCGUGCCAGCAGCCGCGGUAAAGUGACUACUG